Molecule: long non-coding RNA, 548 nt
Organism: Malaclemys terrapin pileata
Lineage: Eukaryota; Metazoa; Chordata; Testudines; Emydidae
Exons: 3
Source: RefSeq, a predicted model, not a curated record
GCUAGGCAAAAGGCUUCUUCCACUCCUUCCAUCCCACACCAGGGAUCCAUCAGGGGUCUCUCUCCACUCCACCCUGAAGCCUUAGAUGGUCAGCAUUGUGAAGGGGAAAAGCAAAAAGCUGUCUCAGCCUUAACUGUGCCUAAAGAUAGGAAACAAUUGAUGGUAAGUCGUAUGGAUCGGAGAGCUUCGUCGAACGUUGAAGCUUUGAGGAGGCAAUCGUCUAGGUGGCUGGAGGCCUAGGGACCGGAGGGUUGCCCUUGCGUCCUUCAUCGAAUGAAGCACGUCGUUUGUGGUGGAGGCAAAAAGUUUUUCCCCCGUCAAAGGGAAGAUCUUCAAUGGUGCUCUGGACCUCUCGAGGAAAGAAGGAGGAGGAGAGCCAUGAACCCCGUCGCAUGACCACUGCUGUGGCGGUCGACCUUGCUGCAGUGUUAGCUACAUUGAGGGCCGCUUGGAGAGCGGUAUGUGAUAUGGUUUGUCCCUCGGAAACCAGAGCUGUGAAUUGUUGUUUCUUCUGCUCUGGGAUGUGAUCAAUAAAAUCCAUGAAUUUA